This 465-nucleotide ribosomal RNA is filed under the name uncultured bacterium. RNAcentral's name for it is "partial 16S ribosomal RNA". It matches the Rfam family "Bacterial small subunit ribosomal RNA", at positions 339 to 795 of the family's 1533-position model. The record is from RNAcentral.
CUACGGGAUGCAGCAGUGAGGAAUUUUGCGCAAUGGGGGAAACCCUGACGCAGCAACGCCGCGUGAGUGAAGAAGGCCCUUGGGUCGUAAAGCUCUGUCAAUGGGGAAGAAGUUGUGUGGUUCGAACAGGGCCAUGCAUUGACGGUACCCAUGAAGGAAGCACCGGCUAACGCCGUGCCAGCAGCCGCGGUAAUACGGAGGGUGCAAGCGUUAUUCGGAAUUAUUGGGCGUAAAGGGCGCGUAGGCGGCCUGUUAAGUCAUUUGUGAAAUUUCGGGGCUUAACCCCGGAGCUGCAUGUGAUACUGGCAGGCUUGAGUAUGGCAGAGGAAAGCGGAAUUCCUGGUGUAGCGGUGAAAUGCGUAGAUAUCAGGAGGAACACCGGUGGCGAAGGCGGCUUUCUGGACCAAUACUGACGCUGAUGCGCGAAGGCGUGGGUAGCAAACAGGAUUAGAUACCCGUGUAGUC